CUACGGGCGGCUCCAGUGGGGAAUAUUGCACAAUGGGGGAAACCCUGAUGCAGCAACGCCGCGUGGAGGAUGACACAUUUCGGUGCGUAAACUCCUUUUAUAGGUCAAGAUAAUGACGGUAGCCUAUGAAUAAGCGCCGGCUAACUCCGUGCCAGCAGCCGCGGUAAUACGGAGGGCGCAAGCGUUACUCGGAAUCACUGGGCGUAAAGAGCAUGUAGGCGGGUUAAUAAGUCAGAAGUGAAAUCCAAUAGCUCAACUAUUGAACUGCUUUUGAAACUGUUAACCUAGAGUGUGGGAGAGGUAGAUGGAAUUUCUGGUGUAGGGGUAAAAUCCGUAGAGAUCAGAAGGAAUACCGAUUGCGAAGGCGAUCUACUGGAACAUUAUUGACGCUGAGACGCGAAAGCGUGGGGAGCAAACAGGAUUAGAUACCCGCGUAGUC
RNAcentral lists this ribosomal RNA (439 nucleotides) under uncultured bacterium. RNAcentral's name for it is "partial 16S ribosomal RNA". It matches the Rfam family "Bacterial small subunit ribosomal RNA", at positions 339 to 795 of the family's 1533-position model. The record is from RNAcentral.